AUUGAACGCUGGCGGCAGGCCUAACACAUGCAAGUCGAACGGUAACAGGAAGAAGCUUGCUUCUUUGCUGACGAGUGGCGGACGGGUGAGUAAUGUCUGGGAAACUGCCUGAUGGAGGGGGAUAACUACUGGAAACGGUAGCUAAUACCGCAUAACGUCGCAAGACCAAAGAGGGGGACCUUCGGGCCUCUUGCCAUCGGAUGUGCCCAGAUGGGAUUAGCUAGUAGGUGGGGUAACGGCUCACCUAGGCGACGAUCCCUAGCUGGUCUGAGUGGAUGACCAGCCACACUGGAACUGAGACACGGUCCAGACUCCUACGGGAGGCAGCAGUGGGGAAUAUUGCACAAUGGGCGCAAGCCUGAUGCAGCCAUGCCGCGUGUAUGAAGAAGGCCUUCGGGUUGUAAAGUACUUUCAGCGGGGAGGAAGGGAGUAAAGUCAAUACCUUUGCUCAUUGACGUUACCCGCAGAAGAAGCACCGGCUAACUCCGUGCCAGCAGCCGCAGUAA
This 506-nucleotide ribosomal RNA is filed under the name uncultured bacterium. RNAcentral's name for it is "partial 16S ribosomal RNA". It matches the Rfam family "Bacterial small subunit ribosomal RNA", at positions 30 to 523 of the family's 1533-position model. The record is from RNAcentral.